AGUGAACGCUGGCGGUAGGCCUAACACAUGCAAGUCGAACGGCAGCACAGUAAGAGCUUGCUCUUACGGGUGGCGAGUGGCGGACGGGUGAGGAAUACAUCGGAAUCUACUUUUUCGUGGGGGAUAACGUAGGGAAACUUACGCUAAUACCGCAUACGACCUACUGGUGAAAGCAGGGGAUCUUCGGACCUUGCGCGAUUGAAUGAGCCGAUGUCGGAUUAGCUAGUUGGCGGGGUAAAGGCCCACCAAGGCGACGAUCCGUAGCUGGUCUGAGAGGAUGAUCAGCCACACUGGAACUGAGACACGGUCCAGACUCCUACGGGAGGCAGCAGUGGGGAAUAUUGGACAAUGGGCGCAAGCCUGAUCCAGCCAUACCGAGUGGGUGAAGAAGGCCUUCGGGUUGUAAAGCCCUUUUGUUGGGAAAGAAAAGCAGCAGGUUAAUACCCCGCUGUUCUGACGGUACCCAAAGAAUAAGCACCGGCUAACUUCGUG
This 492-nucleotide ribosomal RNA is filed under the name uncultured bacterium. RNAcentral describes it as "partial 16S ribosomal RNA". It matches the Rfam family "Bacterial small subunit ribosomal RNA", at positions 29 to 507 of the family's 1533-position model. The record is from RNAcentral.